This 1455-nucleotide ribosomal RNA is filed under the name metagenome. RNAcentral describes it as "bacterial SSU rRNA". It matches the Rfam family "Bacterial small subunit ribosomal RNA". The record is from RNAcentral.
AGAGUUUGAUCCUGGCUCAAAACGAACGCUGGCGGCACGCUUAACACAUGCAAGUCGAACGGAUACAUAAUAAGCUUGCUUAUUGUGUAUUAGUGGCAAACGGGUGAGUAACACGUGGGAAUCUGCCCAUCAGUACGGAAUAAUUUUUAGAAAUGAAAACUAAUACCGUAUAUUCUCUAGCGAGGAAAGAUUUAUCGCUGAUGGAUGAGCCCGCGGCAGAUUAGGUAGUUGGUAGGGUAAUGGCCUACCAAGCCAGAGAUCUGUAGCUGGUCUGAGAGGAUGAUCAGCCACACUGGAACUGAGACACGGUCCAGACUCCUACGGGAGGCAGCAGUGAGGAAUACUGGACAAUGGGCGCAAGCCUGAUCCAGCGAUGCCGCGUGAGUGAUGAAGGCCUUAGGGUUGUAAAGCUCUUUUAGCGGGGAAGAUAAUGACGGUACCCGCAGAAAAAGCCCUGGCUAACUCCGUGCCGGCAGCCGCGGUAAGACGGAGGGGGCUAGCGUUGUUCGGAAUUAUUGGGCGUAAAGGGUGCGUAGGUGGUUUGUUAAGUUGAAAGUGAAAGCCUGGAGCUUAACUUCAGAAUUGCUUUCAAUACUGGCGGACUAGAGUACGAUAGAGGGUGAUGGAAUUCCUAGUGUAGAGGUGAAAUUCUUAGAUAUUAGGAGGAACACCGAUGGCGAAGGCAAUCACCUGGGUCGAUACUGACACUGAGGCACGAAAGCGUGGGUAGCAAACAGGAUUAGAUACCCUGGUAGUCCACGCUGUAAACGAUGAGUGCUAGAUGUUGGGGAUUCGUUCCUCAGUUUCGCAGCUAACGCAUUAAGCACUCCGCCUGGGGACUACGAUCGCAAGAUUAAAACUCAAAGGAAUUGACGGGGGCCCGCACAAGCGGUGGAGCAUGCGGUUUAAUUCGAUACUACGCGAAAAACCUUACCAACUCUUGACAUGCUAACAGCAGGCAUAGAGAUAUGCUCUCGGUUCGGCCGGGUUAGCACAGGUGUUGCACGGCUGUCGUCAGCUCGUGUCGUGAGAUGUUGGGUUAAGUCCCGCAACGAGCGCAACCCUCAUCCUUAUUUGCCAGCGAGUAAUGUCGGGAACUAUAAGGAAACCGCCAGCGAAGUAAGCUGGAGGAAGGUGGGGACGUCAAGUCAUCAUGGCCCUUAUGAGUUGGGCUACACGCGUGCUACAAUGGCGUCUACAGAGGGAAGCGAUACGGCGACGUGGAGCAAAUCCCAAAAAAGACGCCUCAGUUCGGAUUGCACUCUGCAACUCGAGUGCAUGAAGUCGGAAUCGCUAGUAAUCGCGGAUCAGCAUGCCGCGGUGAAUACGUUCCCGGGCCUUGUACACACUGCCCGUCACGCCAUGGGAGUCGAAUCUACCCGAAGAUAGUGAGCUAACGCAAGAGGCAGCUAUCUACGGUGGGUUUGGUAACUGGGGUGAAGUCGAAACAAGGUA